CUGGCCAAUCCUCUCCUGGGCAGCCGACAGCUCCACUCUGAGAGAAUUGAUCUUGGCAGCUUGGGCCCAAGAUUGGUCACUGGCGUGCUUCUUAUGUUCCUCGAGCUCCUUCUGGAAGUUCGUCUUUCUUUGGCUGUACUCCAUGAUCUCCUUCACAUGGAGGUUCCAGAAGCGGGUGGCCUCCGCGGCGGCUUCAGAGUGACUCUCCCUCAAUCUGUGAAGCUCGCCUUCUAUCUUCUUCGACCUUUUUGUCAAAUGAAGAACUUCCUUCUUCAGCCGCUGGAUCGUGAACUUCAGCGGAAUCCCCUGG
Molecule: long non-coding RNA, 310 nt
Filed under: Elaeis guineensis (African oil palm)
Lineage: Eukaryota; Viridiplantae; Streptophyta; Magnoliopsida; Arecales; Arecaceae
Description: long non-coding RNA (EGUI_LNC066278)
Source: RNAcentral